This 339-nucleotide ribosomal RNA is filed under the name Funneliformis mosseae. RNAcentral describes it as "eukaryotic LSU rRNA". The record is from RNAcentral. Lineage: Eukaryota; Fungi; Glomeromycota; Glomeromycetes; Glomerales; Glomeraceae.
UUUGAAAGGGAAACGAUUGAAGUCAGUCAUACCAACGGGAAAUCAACCUUUUGAGCUCGGUUUCGUGGGUUUUGAAGAGUUUCAAAGCCUUCGGAUUCGCGAGAUUGGGAUCUCUCGGUGUACUUUCUCGUACGGUUAGUCAACAUCGGUUUUGAAUGUCAUAAAAUGACUGGAGGAAUGUAGCUUCGAUCUCGUAUUGAAGUGUUAUAGCCUUUGGUAGAUGUGAUGUUUGAGACCGAGGAUUGCAACGGAUACCCUUCAGGGCUAUUCGUCUGAUCUCUGAUACGUUGCCCUGAUGUUGAAAGCUUGCUUAUGAUGUUAGGGUAUACGUCAAAAGUG